UACAGAGGUCCCAAGCGUUGUUCGGAUUCACUGGGCGUAAAGGGUGCGUAGGUGGUUAGGUAAGUCUGAUGUGAAAUCUCUGGGCUCAACCCAGAAACUGCAUUGGAUACUAUCUAGCUAGAGGAGUGGAGGGGGGACUGGAAUACUUGGUGUAGCAGUGAAAUGCGUAGAUAUCAAGUGGAACACCAGUGGCGAAGGCGACUCUUUGGCCUUUAACUGACGCUGAGACACGAAAGCGUGGGUAGCAAACAGG
Molecule: ribosomal RNA, 253 nt
Filed under: uncultured bacterium
Lineage: Bacteria
Description: partial 16S ribosomal RNA
Rfam family: Bacterial small subunit ribosomal RNA
Source: RNAcentral